RNAcentral lists this ribosomal RNA (371 nucleotides) under uncultured bacterium. Its description in RNAcentral is "bacterial SSU rRNA". It matches the Rfam family "Bacterial small subunit ribosomal RNA", at positions 526 to 896 of the family's 1533-position model. The record is from RNAcentral.
GGAGCSSUGCAAGCGUUAAUCGGAAUUACUGGGCGUAAAGCGCACGCAGGCGGUUGGAUAAGUUAGAUGUGAAAGCCCCGGGCUCAACCUGGGAAUUGCAUUUAAAACUGUCCAGCUAGAGUCUUGUAGAGGGGGGUAGAAUUCCAGGUGUAGCGGUGAAAUGCGUAGAGAUCUGGAGGAAUACCGGUGGCGAAGGCGGCCCCCUGGACGAAGACUGACGCUCAGGUGCGAAAGCGUGGGGAGCAAACAGGAUUAGAUACCCUGGUAGUCCACGCCGUAAACGAUGUCGAUUUGGAGGCUGUGUCCUUGAGACGUGGCUUCCGGAGCUAACGCGUUAAAUCGACCGCCUGGGGAGUACGGCCGCAAGGUUA